RNAcentral lists this non-coding RNA (99 nucleotides) under Subdoligranulum variabile. RNAcentral describes it as "THF riboswitch". It matches the Rfam family "THF (Tetrahydrofolate) riboswitch aptamer". From Rfam's summary of the family: THF riboswitch presents a pseudoknot that joins P1-P2 and the loop of P3 and two THF binding. Lineage: Bacteria; Bacillati; Bacillota; Clostridia; Eubacteriales; Oscillospiraceae. The record is from RNAcentral.
GCAGAGUAGAAAACUGUGCGUAAAGUGCCUGACCAACGGGGAGUUGUGGCAGGACGAAAGGCAAAACGCGCCUGCGGUACGGUUUUCGCAUCCCACUGC